CUGCAUUUUAUUUUACACAAAAACUGCAAUUUUAAUGGUGAUUUCAUCGUCGUGAUAUGUUUUACUGUUUUAUUUUUUUAUUCUUUAUUCCAAGGCAAGACACCACAUGAAAUCAUACAUUACAACAGGGUUAUAAAUAUUAUUCCAAAGACAUAUCCAUAUUCGCAUGAGGUGGACAAGCGUAUGUUUUUAUAGAAACAAACUUCAACGUAGUGCAGCAGACUGUUGUGUGUCAACUGCUGUAGUCCGUAUAUCAGUGGUGUCCCACCAGGUUCUUUUGAUAAAGGGUAAAACAGUGAGAAUGUGACCAACCAUUGUGAGCAGGACCCUGACAUCCAGUGCCUAGGUUUGUCGACCUAUAUAGUGCUCUGGUGGGAUCGUAGCAAUCGAGGUAUCGAACUCAGCUUUUAGUGUUACCAGUGUUGCAUUACCAGGUUAGUGUUAUUGCCUCCUGUGUCUCAUCAUAUGAAAGGUAAUGCCCUCGCAAUUGUUAUGGUCGAAAUGUGUCAGUCAGAAUAAAGAGGAAUGUAGUGAUAAGAGUGAUAGAAGUAGAGAAAACCUUAAAGAGGUAAAGAGGAGAGAAGGGAAGGAGGGGGGAGAAGGGUUAAGAGGGAGGGAGAGGAGGAAGUACAGGAGGGAGUGGAACAGGAAGUUACCGGCCAUGGCGAUCGCAGAUCUAUGCGACCUUAUUACAAAGUGACUUCAAAAUGUUUAGCAAUAUCACAACGUUUGUGGAUUAGGCCAGAUCGUGUGGGACUGCCUGUGGGAUCCCAUUCAAACCCCUGCGGGAGAGCAGGCUGGGUGAGUCAAAAGUUAAGAUAGGUGGCUACAGAAACAGGGGUGAGAGUGAUGUUCAGACGGUGGUGUCAAUUUGGUCUUACGUAUGCCAAUGUCAAAAGUCAGCAGAUGGUGGUCAGAUAUAGGAAAGGGAAUAUUGGAGAGAUUAGAGGCAGUACAGAGGUUGGUGAAGGCAAGAUCAAGAGAGUUUCCUGCUGUAUGGGUUGCUAGAUUGGACCAUUGCGUAAGGCCAAAGGAGGAGGUUACAGAGAGCAGAACCGUCUCAACCACGGCCGGAUCCUGAAGUAAGGAAGCAUUCAACUUCCACGACCACGGGGAUGCCGUGCACAAUUUAUCCAAGAUCAGUGUGAGCUCUGCCUGGUCCGACCACGUGAUAGAUCCCACCGCAGAACCUGAC
This is a non-coding RNA of Pelobates cultripes (western spadefoot toad), 1195 nucleotides long. NCBI's taxonomy places the organism in Eukaryota, Metazoa, Chordata, Amphibia, Anura, Pelobatidae. The record is from the annotation of a GenBank genome assembly.